This 3271-nucleotide long non-coding RNA is filed under the name Solanum lycopersicum (tomato). RNAcentral describes it as "partial TCONS_00187866". Lineage: Eukaryota; Viridiplantae; Streptophyta; Magnoliopsida; Solanales; Solanaceae. The record is from RNAcentral.
CCCCUUUCUCUAUAGCAGCCGCCACCUCUACUCUCUCCUCUCCAUUCGCGCUGGCGAGAGCAGCCACCGGCGACGCCCGUCUACUCUUCUACGCUCCUCUCCCGUUGCUCUUUCUCUCUCCUCCCUCCUUCUCCUCUCUCACCCCUCUCUCCACUCGCGUCUCCUCAUCCCUAGCGAGAGCAGCAGCAGCUCCAGCGAGCUGCACCAGGCGGCGCCGCUUUUUUCUCCUCUCCUUUUUUCCCUCCUCUCCUUUCUCUCCUCCCCUCUCCUCCUUUGCUCCAUCCUCCCUUCUCUCUUUCUUUGCCGAUACAGCAGCGCCAAAUGAGCAGCAAGGACCAGCACCUCUAGUGCUCCGACAAACAGCAGCAGCAGACGAGAAUAAGCAGUGAACAACAAAUGAUGGACUGAGAGGGGAAAGUUUGCAAAGUCGUGAUCAAGAAGGAGGAGAAACGGGGCCCUAGUGGAAGCAAGGAGGCAAAGAUCAGCGUUAGCAACUGGACCUCGAAUCCAUCCCGACCUCGUCAAGAAUCUGGAGAGUAAAGCAACCUACGCAAAAACAGCUCCAAUAUCGCUCUAAGUACAACAAAUCGCAACUUGAAGGCAAGUUUUCCAACAAGAGGAAUGCCCAAGCUAUCGUUCGCCCUAAAGCAACUGUUGUGGUGGCAAAUUAUAUUCUGCACGAUAUUGCAUCAGUUGAACCUACGCUCGAUAUCUCAUUAUGCUCAAAGAAAUGCAUCAUUAUAUUAUCCUCCAGACCACAUAAAUGCAUCAUUUCAUGUGCUCGAUAUUGCAUGUGCCCAAUAUUGCAUGUGCCCGAUAAAAUGCAUCAUUGCAUGUGCUCAAAGAAAUGCAUCAUUGCAUUGUUCCCGAUAAUGCAUGUGCCCGAAGAAACGCAUCAUUUCAUGUGCCCGAUAUUACAUGUGCGUGAAGAAAUGCAUCAUUGCAUGUGCUCGAUAUUGCAUACGUAUGAAGAAUCGCGUUAGUUCAUGUUCCCAAAGAAAUGCAUCAUUGCAUUGUGCCCGAGACUGCAUUAUGCCCGAAGUUUACAUAAGCCCAAGAUUACAUCGUGCUCAAAGUUUGCAUGUGCCUGAAUCAAAUGAAGUCACAAGUAUCAACAGAUGCCAAAAACAGAUAGGCUCUCUUUACUCAUUACUUAUAUUCCAAACGCGUCAUACUCCAAAGGUAUCAUCUUUCAUGGCCUACGGACUUCAUGUCAUGGCCUGAGGACUUAUUUUAUGCAUAGAAUGUUCCUAAGGCAUCAUCCUCAUGGACUGCAGACAUAAUAUGAUGGCCUAAGGGUUUAGUUUCUGUCUAUCAUGAUCCGAAGGUGUCAUAGUUUAAAGGCGUCAUUUUCAUGUCCUACAGACAACAUUUACAUGACUUGAGGAUACACUUUGCAUAUCAUGGCUCUAGAAAUCAUAGCCUAAGAUGUCAUUUUUCGUGGUCUUAUGGCAAACAUUCAUGAUCAACAUGGGAAUUGCAUCAUGCUUACAUAUACCUCUUAAUUUUGAUAUAUUUGCUCUAAUCGCUUUAGUUAAGUCAUAUUACAAGUUACAGAUGUGCAGAUUACAGGUAAAAUCAAUCGCUCUCUGAACGACCGUUUUCACGCUUGCAAACAAAGGCUAUCAAAUUCUCGGCCACUCACAUUAUCAUUCGGCUACUCGGCUACCGUUCAGACUACCAUAGAGAUAUUGUCAGACUCAACUCGCUACUGUGACCAACUGUCUCUUCAUGUAAGCUUGUCUGCCUAACAAUAAGACAUAUAGGCUCGUCUUCCUUACAAUGUGAAAUCUAGGCUCGUCCGCCUUACAACGUGAUAUUUUCGCUCGUCUGUCUUACAAUGUGACAUCUAGACUCGUUCGCCUUACAACGCAAUAUUUAUGCUCACCCUCCUUAUAGGAUAUUUAGGCCCGUCCGCCUUAAAACGACAGUUAGGCUUGUCCAUCUUAAAGUAAAUUUAGGUCGUCUGCCUUAAAAGGAUAUUUAGGCCGUUCUCCUUAAAAUGACAUUGAGGCUCGUCCGCCUCAUAGGACAUUUAUGUUCGUCCGCUUUAUAAGAUAUUUAGGUCGUCCGCCUUUAAAUGAAACUUAGGCUCGUCCACCUUAAAAUGAAGUACAUCCACCUUACAACCAUAUAUUUUCCUGAUAUUAUUAUAUCUCUAUACUAUUAGAGGUUGACUUUAACCUUCGGAGAUGGGUUGCAAUUCUUCAACAGGUUAAGCUAAAGACUACCAAGGCUUGCACUACGUCUCAAAACGGAUACGCUUCUUAGCACCUCUUGUCAUUUAUUUAGAACUCAUAUUUUAUCAAUAUUGAUCAUACUUUAUCUAUUUAUAAGCUAAAAUUGUACCUAGUCAUAAUAGAAUUUGCAGAUAUGAUAGAUCGCCCUUUGAUUAAAAUUAUUAUGUUAUCAUAUAUCACAACAAAGACGCUAUUAAUUAUUUACUACUCAUACUCCAAACCUUGCUCAAAAGAUGAUAAUUUCACUCUAUCAUACUCUUCCUGCUUCUCUGUCAUAUCUCUUUUAGCCUCUCCAUCUCUCUCUUCUCGCUGCACUAAUCUUAUCCAUUCAAGCCAAUAUGGUGCCUUUCAAAUACCUUAGGGCUCUUUCAAAUUUUAAGAGUUUCAUUUUCUCUUGAAUCUAGAACUACACAUGGCCUGAUUCUCGUAUAAUCAGGAUAUGUAGGCGACCUAAUACCAAAAUCUCGGUCCUACACUUUUUCAACUCUAUAUCGUUUCAAUUGAUCCAACUGACAUCUCUCGUCGGUCGGACGAAAUUGGCUACUUAGUCAACGUUGGUUGUCUGACAAUUCAUUCUUCAUUCUCAAUCAAACAAGUGUUAUAAACUUCAUAAAGAUGAGUUGAUUAUUUUUUAUCAUGGCAUCACUGAUUUUUUUUCUCUACUUGAUUAUGUGUAUUGGCAAAAUAUCAUCGGGUAAUUUGAAUUAUCAGAAGAUCUCUUUGCUUAUUAGUAUAAUCUUGGUUAUUUGGAUUGUUCGGGUGUGAUAUGAAUAUUCUUAAUUUAAUCAUUUCUUCUUGAUUAAUCUCGAAAGAAUUAUCUUUUAUCAGGCUGACUUAGUUUACUAUUAAAAAUUUUCCCCUUAAUCAAUAAAUAAAGCUCUUGUUAAUAUUAUGAUAACUGAUUUGGAGGAUGAAUUAUUUUCUUAUCUUAAAUAAUUAUUGUUUAAACUGAUAUCUUGUAUUGUUUAAUUCAUGGGCUAACUUUACUUCCUUCAUUUAAGGAAUUUAUAAUGUUGUGAAUUGGUUUCGUC